GGACGAACGCUGGCGGCGUGCUUAACACAUGCAAGUCGAACGAUGAUGCUCUGGUUUUCUGGGGUGGAUUAGUGGCGAACGGGUGAGUAACACGUGAGUAACCUGCCCUCUUCUUUGGGAUAACGGUCGGAAACGGCUGCUAAUACUGGAUAUUCACUCAUUGGCGCAUGUUGGUGGGUGGAAAGGUUUUUUCUGGUGGGGGAUGGGCUCGCGGCCUAUCAGCUUGUUGGUGGGGUGAUGGCCUACCAAGGCUUUGACGGGUAACCGGCCUGAGAGGGUGACCGGUCACAUUGGGACUGAGAUACGGCCCAGACUCCUACGGGAGGCAGCAGUGGGGAAUUUUGCACAAUGGGCGCAAGCCUGAUGCAGCGACGCCGCGUGAGGGAUGAAGGCCUUCGGGUUGUAAACCUUUUUCGCUCAUGGUCAAGCCGCAGCUUGGGUUGUGGUGAGGGUAGUGGGUAAAGAAGCGCCGGCUAACUACGU
This 483-nucleotide ribosomal RNA is filed under the name Actinomyces sp. 'ARUP UnID 100'. RNAcentral describes it as "bacterial SSU rRNA". It matches the Rfam family "Bacterial small subunit ribosomal RNA", at positions 27 to 506 of the family's 1533-position model. Lineage: Bacteria; Bacillati; Actinomycetota; Actinomycetes; Actinomycetales; Actinomycetaceae. The record is from RNAcentral.